This 53-nucleotide transfer RNA is filed under the name Alexandrium margalefii. Its description in RNAcentral is "partial Selenocysteine transfer RNA". The record is from RNAcentral. Lineage: Eukaryota; Dinophyceae; Gonyaulacales; Pyrocystaceae.
CAAGAGGCUCUGGUCGGCAGCGCCGCCUUCAAAUCAGGGCAGGUCCGUCCCCA